AGAGUUUGAUCCUGGCUCAGGAUGAACGCUGGCGGCGUGCUUAACACAUGCAAGUCGAACGAAGCACGGGGACGGAAGCCCUCCGGGGUGGAAGGCCGCGUGACUGAGUGGCGGACGGGUGAGUAACGCGUGGGUAACCUGCCCCAUACAGGGGGAUAACAGCCGGAAACGGCUGCUAAUACCGCAUGCACAUGCGGGGGCGCAUGCCCCUGGAUGGAAAGCUUUCGCGGUAUGGGAUGGGCCCGCGUCUGAUUAGGCAGUUGGCGGGGUAACGGCCCACCAAACCGACGAUCAGUAGCCGGCCUGAGAGGGCAACCGGCCACAUUGGGACUGAGACACGGCCCAAACUCCUACGGGAGGCAGCAGUGGGGAAUAUUGCACAAUGGGGGGACCCUGAUGCAGCGACGCCGCGUGGGUGAAGGAGUAUUUCGGUAUGUAAAGCCCUAUCAGCAGGGAAGAACAAUGACGGUACCUGACUAAGAAGCACCGGCUAAAUACGUG
RNAcentral lists this ribosomal RNA (501 nucleotides) under uncultured Lachnospiraceae bacterium. RNAcentral's name for it is "bacterial SSU rRNA". It matches the Rfam family "Bacterial small subunit ribosomal RNA", at positions 8 to 507 of the family's 1533-position model. Lineage: Bacteria; Bacillati; Bacillota; Clostridia; Lachnospirales; Lachnospiraceae. The record is from RNAcentral.